UACAGAGGGUGCAAGCGUUAAUCGGAAUUACUGGGCGUAAAGCGCGCGUAGGUGGUAGUGCAAGUUAGAUGUGAAAUCCCCAAGCUUAACUUGGGAAUUGCACCUAAUACUGCACCACUAGAGUCGAAUAGAGGGAAGUGGAAUUUCCGGUGUAGCGGUGAAAUGCGUAGAUAUCGGAAAGAACACCAGUGGCGAAGGCGGCUUCCUGGAUUCAGACUGACACUCAGGUGCGAAAGCGUGGGGAGCGAACAGG
Molecule: ribosomal RNA, 253 nt
Filed under: uncultured bacterium
Lineage: Bacteria
Description: partial 16S ribosomal RNA
Rfam family: Bacterial small subunit ribosomal RNA
Source: RNAcentral